UACAGAGGUCCCAAGCGUUGUUCGGAUUCACUGGGCGUAAAGGGUGCGUAGGCGGUCGGGUAAGUCUGGCGUGAAAUCUCCAAGCCUAACUUGGAAACUGCGUUGGAUACUAUCCGGCUCGAGGAAUGGAGGGGAGACUGGAAUACUUGGUGUAGCAGUGAAAUGCGUAGAUAUCAAGUGGAACACCAGUGGCGAAGGCGGCAUCCUGGACCAACACUGACGCUGAGGAGCGAAAGCCAGGGGAGCAAACGGG
RNAcentral lists this ribosomal RNA (253 nucleotides) under uncultured bacterium. RNAcentral describes it as "partial 16S ribosomal RNA". It matches the Rfam family "Bacterial small subunit ribosomal RNA", at positions 524 to 776 of the family's 1533-position model. The record is from RNAcentral.